Paramormyrops kingsleyae is the source of this 2654-nucleotide non-coding RNA. The record is from RefSeq and is a predicted model, not a curated record. Lineage: Eukaryota; Metazoa; Chordata; Actinopteri; Osteoglossiformes; Mormyridae.
GACCAUUUGGGCCUAGGAGACGUCCCAAAGCCUGACUCGUUGAGAGAAAUCGCAUGUGACGUCACAUUGUCGUGUGAUUUCUUUAAUCGGUAUCUCUGCACUGGCAUGCCGAAAAAAAGCUGAAAAGUAAAAGUAAGUUUUUGUCAUGGCUGUGCUUGCUGAUCGUAUCAUUUUUAUGCUGAUAUUCAUCAAAGUGUACGGUAAGGAAACGCAAAUAUUUGUUCCUCUCUUUGGGAAUUAUUACGUGUGAAGUUGAGAAGUAACAGUGAAAGAAAUAAGUUGCGUUAAAAGCUUUUUUUUAAAACUGAGUUGCUACAAACUACUCAGAAGACAGAAAGUAAGAAGUUGCCCACAAUGUGAAGCUACAGAAAAAAAAUUUGCAUCGUUGCAAAUACAAGUCACCAAAACAAUCAUUUUGAAUGAAGGUGUUUUCUUAGAGUAACCAGUGAAAUUACUACGUACACAGUUUAACUUCUCUAAUUUACUCAGUGCAUUGUGUGUUUCUGUACAAGGCUACCAUUUGUCUAGGAAUUUACUAUUUAGAAUCUAAUCAAUGCCUAUGUAAAUGUUUCAGACGUCCGAAAAAUAACUGAAAAUACUCCUGGCUCUAGAUGUAAAAAAUGAAAGUGAUUUGCAUCUUGUUUUCAGGAAGUAUGUAGUAAUGCUCUGUUUAUAGCUAUGUGGUUGUGUUGUGGCUUUUGUUGUUGUUUUGGUUUUAAAAGUGAUUCAUAUCUAGCUUUAGAAUCUUUUUUUUUUCUUAAAUCUUGGUGCUUUUUGGUGUAAUUUUUCUGUUGUUGCGAGGAACCAGGAAAUGGCUGCCGAGUGGGGCUAUUGCUAAUGCUGUGUAGGCUGUACAGUGACACAGAGAGACGUAUAUAUUUGCUGUGAAGAUAUAUAUGCUAAUGGGAUGUAUAAAUAUUCAGCCGACACAAACUGGACCACGGAUAAACUUCACAGUGAGGAAUGGGUCAGUGAGAAAAUCCCUCUGUUGUGUAUUGAAUAUGGCCCCUUUUUAAGUAACUUGACCGCUGAGGUAGAACAGGUCCUCUCUGGGAGCAUCUACCUCAAACGAUGUCUUAACCUGACUUACUCUGCUACUGAUGACAAGUUUAAGGAACUUCACGUUCACUUCAUUGUCACAGGAUGUACUGAAGAAGAACAGAAUAAUGCAUAUAAAGCUACAUCGAACUUACAUUACUUGGCUGUUUUGGUUCCCAUCACUGGGCUUGUGUCCAUUUUGCAGAUCUAGUGGAAAAUUGGCUGCUUCAGAUGGUGGUUUUCGUAGGAAUGGGUGGAGGCAGCCUGCAGAUGAUCAGAAUAUGACCAGGAAGGACAAAGAGACAUUUUGUUAGUUGAAAUAGUCAUCCUGUCUCCCUCUGGUGUAAAAUCAACUCAUUUUUAGAAACUAUUCGGUUUUCAUUUCUAACAAAGGCUAGAUGUAGUAAAAGAUAUUUUCAUUAUACAGAGAACGUUUUAUACAUACAUACAUAGGUAUAAGUCCUUCUUUACUUUCAUCGCUUCUCUCAUUUUUGUCUCAAACUACUCUGCUCACAUUGAAGCACAGAGGAUGAAUUGGUACCUUAUGAUGGUGAGCUAAGCACUGAUUGGAUGGACCUCAAUUGAUCGCAAACAAGGAUGAAAGCAGAUUAUUGCCUGCAUGUGGCAACAAGCUGGUUGAUGUUCUGUGGUUUAGGCACUCCCUUUCUUGGUAAAAUAUGUCAGUUUUUUCCUCCUUUGGUAGAGCAUAGUAUAGUAUAGUAUAGUAUAGUGUAGCAUAGUAGAGUGUAGUAUAGUGUAAUAUAGAGCAGUGGUCAUCAGGUUGUUGGGCAUCAGCUAAUUGAAGCCCACAGGGAACCAGUCAUGCGGUCUGGAUUUGAUUUUAGUUCCAUCCACAUGCAGACCAGAGUCGGCCAGUUGGUGACCACCGGUAUAGAAUAUGUUAUAGGGAAUUAUAGGUAUGUGGCAGAAGAUUCAGUAGCAAGAUUGAUUAUUAACUUUAUAAGCUUCAUAUGUAGUUUAUCCAUAUAAGCAGCCUCUCGCAUUGAUAGAAAGGCCGCAUUCAGCCGUGGACAUGCCGGGCUGGCUGUCCAUUCCUGACGGACCUCGCCGGGCAUUUCCGACACAGUGCGUGUGACAGCUGUACCUUGGAUCCCCAGGAGGCAUGUCAGGGAGAAAGGGACUGGUGUGGGUCUUACGUCAGGGGCGGGAAGAGCAGGGCAGCCCUGUGGAAGGGUUACGUCACUGCUCACCCGUACAGGAGAUUAAUGCUAAUAUAAUUUCUUAUGAUUAAUUCAGUAAGUUAUCAGAAAUCCUCUACUUAAAACAGUGCAAGGCAAAACAUAGUAAGAAUAAUAAAUAUUAAUGAGGAUGAUAAUAAUUAUCAUAACAAUUAUAAUCAUUAUCAUCAUCACCUUAUUCAUUUUUUAUCAUUAUUAUAUACAAAGAUUGUUACAUACAUCCAUAUACAUGUAUAAUUUUCUGUAUUUCUAUAUUCAAAAACACUUAAAUGCAUACAUUUAUAUACAUACAUAUAUUUUAUAUGGCGAGGUACUUGGGUGUUUCUAAAAGCAAGAGACUUAACUGGAAAUGGAAAUCACCAUGAGGUAAGGUGAUUUACAUUUCCAGUUAAGUCUGUUGCUUUUUUUUAAUGUGUG